This is a small nucleolar RNA of Jaculus jaculus (lesser Egyptian jerboa), 206 nucleotides long. Its record names the gene U3. It matches the Rfam family "Small nucleolar RNA U3". Rfam says of the family: Small nucleolar RNAs (snoRNAs) are involved in the processing and modification of rRNA in the nucleolus. There are two main classes of snoRNAs: the box C/D class, and the box H/ACA class. Lineage: Eukaryota; Metazoa; Chordata; Mammalia; Rodentia; Dipodidae. The record is from Ensembl.
CAGCCCUCAGGGGUCACUUUUAUAGUUUGUUACUAGAGAAAUUUCUCUGACUGUGUAGAGUAUUGGAAACCAUAAGGAGGAGAUAUAAUGUUUUCUCUUGAGUGUGAAGGCAGCUCUUAGUGUUGCUUUGCUGCAACUGUCACUUGCCAAUGAUGAUCAUUGCUGCUUUCCUCUGGACUGCAGGGAGAGGGCACAGUCUGAGUGGC